GUCGUCAGCUCGUGUCGUGAGAUGUUGGGUUAAGUCCCGCAACGAGCGCAACCCUCGCCAUUAGUUGCCAUCAUUUAGUUGGGAACUCUAAUGGGACUGCCGGUGCUAAGCCGGAGGAAGGUGGGGAUGACGUCAAGUCCUCAUGGCCCUUACAGGGUGGGCUACACACGUGCUACAAUGGCGACUACAGAGGGUUAAUCCUUAAAAGUCGUCUCAGUUCGGAUUGUCCUCUGCAACUCGAGGGCAUGAAGUUGGAAUCGCUAGUAAUCGCGGAUCAGCAUGCCGCGA
Molecule: ribosomal RNA, 288 nt
Filed under: uncultured bacterium
Lineage: Bacteria
Also listed under: 1 other name
Description: partial 16S ribosomal RNA
Rfam family: Bacterial small subunit ribosomal RNA
Source: RNAcentral